GUGUAAAUAUCAUAUAAACAUAUUCCAGCUGCAGGUAUGAAUAACAAUUUCACACUGCAGUGAUAUAUCCUGUGAUCAAAACAGAAAAUACAUUUAGGAAAAUGUAAUUGGUGUAAAAAUAAGGACACUCCAGUAUUUAAUUGUUAAGCUUCACAAGGGAUUGGGACUUAUAUUCCAUGUAUAGAUCAUGAAAAAAAUAUCCUAUAUAAGUAGAAUAUUGAACAGAUCUCAGUCCUAUCAUUUGAUAUCACAGUUUAUCAGAUGAGUAAGGAUGUCGGCUGAUUGAUUCAUCAUUGAUCUGUUUAAUUCAAGAAAACAUCACUCAUAUCCCAACUAAUCAUUCAAUUUUGAUUGGUUACCUUGUAAGGGUAUUAUUGGUCCAUAUACUCUGAUCAAUACAGAAGAUACAUAUAUAGGAACUGAAAUUCGUGUAAAAAUCCGGGAAGUCAAAUAUAAUAUAAUUGUUCAGCUUCACAAGGGAUAUGUAUGGACUUGUAUUCCCUAUGAAGAUCACGAAAAAUUUUCAAAUAUCAAAUAGAAUAUCGAACAGAUCUCAGUCCUAUCAUUUGAUAUCACAGAUUUAUCAGAUGAGUAAGGAUGUCGGCUGAUUAUAUUCAUCACAGAUCUGUUUUCUCCUAGAUGACAUCACUUAUUAUUUCCAUCUAUGGUUUGCAGUGUUGAUUAUCUCAAUAUAAAAUCUUAAGUACAAGGUACAUG
This 717-nucleotide long non-coding RNA is filed under the name Mytilus galloprovincialis (Mediterranean mussel). The record is from RNAcentral. Lineage: Eukaryota; Metazoa; Mollusca; Bivalvia; Mytilida; Mytilidae.